Molecule: long non-coding RNA, 1090 nt
Filed under: Gossypium barbadense (sea-island cotton)
Lineage: Eukaryota; Viridiplantae; Streptophyta; Magnoliopsida; Malvales; Malvaceae
Description: long non-coding RNA (GBAR_LNC001444)
Source: RNAcentral
UAGUAAAAUGGUAGCAAAAUAGGGAGAAAAUAAUAAAAAAUAAUAUUAAAAAAAUUAUCCUUUAGUGAAUUCAAGCCAGCUUGGAUGAAAAAUGUCUUACUCGAGGCCCGACCCAUUUUUAGACGGGCUUUAAUUUUUGUCCAAGCCCAUUUUUUAGACAUAUAUUUUUGCCCAAACCCUCUUACAUUUCGAAUAGGCUUUCGGGCCGGGCCAAGUGGCCCCACCCAUGAACAGGCCUACUAAGUGCUCUCUCUCAAUAUCCUACAUAAAUCAAUGGAAAGUUUUUUUAAAUGAACUCUAAGAUGUUGCUAAUAAUCAUGACCGAUUUAGCAAACCCUUUAAUGAAUAGAAGAUUAACAGAAAAAUUGAAAUGAGUAGGUUGCAGCUAUUGCAUUUGGGAUGAUGCUCAAAUACCCCAUGAAUUCCAGCCAUAUUCAAGACACUUAAGAGUACACUCAUCCCUAAAUAUGAUUAGGUAUGGAAAAAUGGCCCCCCUCUCAAACUCUUUUGCACCAUACCAGACCCCAUUUCUAGCCACCGAUUAUCCAGUUCUUGAAUCGACGAGGGAAUCCAACAACUCUCAGAACUUGGAUAAUGAAAUUCCAAAUGUCUUUCUAAGGUACAUCCAUGAACCAACUCCCGAGCCAGUAGCAAAUUAUCCACAAGUUCCUUCCAUUAAAGCACUUUGGCUAUUAGAGAUAAGGCUGCGUAGACACUUGAUUGUUUUAUUGGAGGAGGCUACCAUAUUUCCAAUGGCAAAAAAACAUAGAAUGAUUUCCACUACAUCUCCUCCAAAAAUGCUAUAGGAGGCUUGGAAGAAUCUGGUUGGGUAUGCAUCAAGGCUAGGGGCCUUGUUUCCAUUCAUAGAGAAUAUGGUUGACUUAUAAUCUCCUCUGUUGUAAAACAAGAACAAUCAAGUUUGAUAUUUCGUACGUACCACUUGAUCAGCACUCUAUCCAGCUAUCUUGAAAGAGGCUCAUAAAUGAUAUUUCCUACUUGAAUAUAUAUUAAACAAAUGCUUCAGAUAUUUUAUAUCAUGGACAACAAUUCCAACAAGUAAACUUCAAAUUUAAUUAGCAAAAGCCAUUGC